UACGUAGGGGGCAAGCGUUGUCCGGAUUCAUUGGGCGUAAAGAGCUCGUAGGCGGCUUGGCAAGUCGGGUGUGAAAACUCCAGGCUCAACCUGGAGACGCCACCCGAUACUGCCAUGGCUAGAGUCCGGUAGGGGACCACGGAAUUCCUGGUGUAGCGGUGAAAUGCGCAGAUAUCAGGAGGAACACCGGUGGCGAAGGCGGGUCUCUGGGCCGAUACUGACGCUGAGGAGCGAAAGCGUGGGGAGCGAACAGG
Molecule: ribosomal RNA, 254 nt
Filed under: uncultured bacterium
Lineage: Bacteria
Description: partial 16S ribosomal RNA
Rfam family: Bacterial small subunit ribosomal RNA
Source: RNAcentral